This 74-nucleotide transfer RNA is filed under the name Chloroflexi bacterium ADurb.Bin222. RNAcentral's name for it is "tRNA-Thr". It matches the Rfam family "tRNA". From Rfam's summary of the family: Transfer RNA (tRNA) molecules are approximately 80 nucleotides in length. Their secondary structure includes four short double-helical elements and three loops (D, anti-codon, and T loops). Further hydrogen bonds mediate the characteristic L-shaped molecular structure. tRNAs have two regions of fundamental functional importance: the anti-codon, which is responsible for specific mRNA codon recognition, and the 3' end, to which the tRNAs corresponding amino acid is attached (by aminoacyl-tRNA synthetases). tRNAs cope with the degeneracy of the genetic code in two manners: having more than one tRNA (with a specific anti-codon) for a particular amino acid; and 'wobble' base-pairing, i.e. permitting non-standard base-pairing at the 3rd anti-codon position. Lineage: Bacteria; Bacillati; Chloroflexota. The record is from RNAcentral. RNAcentral also lists the same sequence under 1 other name.
GCCCAUGUAGCUCAGCAGGUAGAGCACUUUCUUGGUAAGAAAGGGGUCCUCGGUUCGAAUCCGAGCAUGGGCUC